RNAcentral lists this ribosomal RNA (382 nucleotides) under uncultured prokaryote. RNAcentral describes it as "bacterial SSU rRNA". It matches the Rfam family "Archaeal small subunit ribosomal RNA", at positions 339 to 725 of the family's 1478-position model. The record is from RNAcentral.
GCGCGAAAACUUUACAAUGCGGGAAACCGUGAUAGGGGAACUCCGAGUGCCCGUUAAAUCGGGCUGUCCACCAGUUUAAAUAACUGGUGAAGAAAGGGCCGGGCAAGACCGGUGCCAGCCGCCGCGGUAAUACCGGCGGCUCGAGUGGUGGCCACUAUUACUGGGCUUAAAGCGUUCGUAGCUGGUUUGUUAAGUCUCUGGGGAAAUCUUCCGGCUUAACCGGAAGGCGUCUCAGGGAUACUGGCAGACUAGGGACCGGGAGAGGUGAGGGGUACUCCAGGGGUAGGAGUGAAAUCCUGUAAUCCUUGGGGGACCACCUGUGGCGAAGGCGCCUCACCAGAACGGCUCCGACAGUGAGGGACGAAAGCUGGGGGAGCAAACC